UACGGGGGGAGCAAGCGUUGUUCGGAUUUACUGGGCGUAAAGGGCGCGUAGGCGGCCAGCACAAGUCAGUUGUGAAAUCUCCGAGCUUAACUCGGAAAGGUCAACUGAUACUGUGCGGCUAGAGUGCGGAAGGGGCAACUGGAAUUCUUGGUGUAGCGGUGAAAUGCGUAGAUAUCAGGAGGAACACCGAUGGCGAAGGCAGGUCUCUGGGCUGACACUGACGCUCAUGCACGAAAGCGUGGGGAGCAAACAGG
Molecule: ribosomal RNA, 254 nt
Filed under: uncultured bacterium
Lineage: Bacteria
Description: partial 16S ribosomal RNA
Rfam family: Bacterial small subunit ribosomal RNA
Source: RNAcentral